This 260-nucleotide unclassified non-coding RNA is filed under the name Basidiomycota sp. Its description in RNAcentral is "partial contains small subunit ribosomal RNA, internal transcribed spacer 1, and 5.8S ribosomal RNA". The stretch from base 1 to 47 matches the Rfam family "Eukaryotic small subunit ribosomal RNA", at positions 1785 to 1831 of the family's 1831-position model. Lineage: Eukaryota; Fungi; Basidiomycota. The record is from RNAcentral.
AAAGUCGUAACAAGGUUUCCGUAGGUGAACCUGCGGAAGGAUCAUUACCGAAUGACCUGCACCUUCUUGUAGCAGACCAGCGCUCAUUGCCCGAACGGGUUGAAUGAGAGUCCCAGGGCCUCUUGGCCUCUUGGCCUUUUGGUCUGCUACGCCUACCAAUACAACCUGUCAUUGCAUGGUGGGGUGGCAUCCUUUCAUUGGGUUGCCCCUCAAGUAUGGAAAUAUCAAUAUAACUUUCAACAACGGAUCUCUUGGCUCUC